RNAcentral lists this unclassified non-coding RNA (343 nucleotides) under soil metagenome. RNAcentral describes it as "partial contains 5.8S ribosomal RNA, internal transcribed spacer 2, and large subunit ribosomal RNA". The stretch from base 1 to 120 matches the Rfam family "5.8S ribosomal RNA", at positions 35 to 154 of the family's 154-position model. The record is from RNAcentral.
GAUGAAGAACGUAGCGAAAUGCGAUAAGUAAUGUGAAUUGCAGAAUUCAGUGAAUCAUCGAAUCUUUGAACGCACAUUGCGCCCGCUAGUAUUGUGGCGGGCAUGCCUGUCCGAGCGUCAUUUCAACCCUCAAGCCCCCGGGCUUGGUGUUGGGGAUCGGCGAGCCUCCGCGCCCGCCGUCCCCUAAAUCUAGUGGCGGUCUCGCUGUAGCUUCCUCUGCGUAGUAGCACACCUCGCACUGGGAAACAGCGCGGCCACGCCGUUAAACCCCCAACUUCUGAACGUUUGACCUCGGAUCAGGUAGGAAUACCCGCUGAACUUAAGCAUAUCAAUAAGCGGAGGA